Molecule: ribosomal RNA, 411 nt
Filed under: Triticum aestivum (bread wheat)
Lineage: Eukaryota; Viridiplantae; Streptophyta; Magnoliopsida; Poales; Poaceae
Description: partial small subunit ribosomal RNA
Source: RNAcentral
CCGACCAAGCGUGACAAAUACAAACCUGUCCGGGCCGAAUACCGCAGACCAGCUCCAUCUGGGCUACGUCCCGAGGUGGCGCGACAUAGAGGCGCCACACACCCCCUCUGCUUCACUGAUGAAGUAAUGGGACAUGAAUUCCUAGAAGGGUUUAAACCCGUAAACAUUGAAUCAUAUGAUGGGAAAACAGAUCCCGCGGUAUGGAUUGGGGAUUUUCUUCUCCAUAUUCAUAUGUCCCACGGUGAUGAUCUCCACGCCAUCAAAUAUCUCCCGCUAAAACUCAAGGGACUAGCUCGGCACUGGUUGAACAGUCUUCUCGAAAACUCCAUCGGAAGUUGGGAAGACUUGGAAGAUGCUUUCCUUGACACUUCCAAGGCACCUACGUCCGACCUCCGGAUGCCGAUGACUUAA